UGGGGAAUAUUGCGCAAUGGGCGAAAGCCUGACGCAGCGACGCCGCGUGGGGGAUGACGGCCUUCGGUUGUAACCUCUUUCUAGCAGGGACGAAGCGAGAGUGACGGUACCUGCAGAAGAAGCACCGGCCAACUACGUGCCAGCAGCCGCGGUAAUACGUAGGGGGCGGAGCGUUGUCCGGAUUUAUUGGGCGUAAAGAGCUCGUAGGCGGUUUGGCAAGUCGGAUGUGAAAUCUCCAGGCUCAACCUGGAGGGGUCAUUCGAAACUGCCAUGACUAGAGUUCGGUAGAGGAGUGUGGAAUUCCUGGUGGAGCGGUGAAAUGCGCAGAUAUCAGGAGGAACACCCGUAGCGAAGGCGGCACUCUGGGCCGAUACUGACGCUGAGGAGCGAAAGCGUGGGGAGCGAACAGGAUUAGAUACCCUGGUAGUCCACGCCGUAAACGUUGGGCACUAGGUGUGGGGUUCUAUCGACGGAGUUCCGUGCCGUAG
This 488-nucleotide ribosomal RNA is filed under the name uncultured Actinomycetes bacterium. RNAcentral describes it as "bacterial SSU rRNA". It matches the Rfam family "Bacterial small subunit ribosomal RNA", at positions 355 to 851 of the family's 1533-position model. Lineage: Bacteria; Bacillati; Actinomycetota; Actinomycetes. The record is from RNAcentral.